CUCGAGUCUCACAGCGACGGCAAAACCACCAUCAAACUUUCCAAGGCCGGUCCAAUGUACUUCACUUGUUCCACAUUUGGUCACUGUCAAUCUGGCAUGAAAUUAACCGUCGAUGUCAAAGAUAGCUCCUCCACUCCGUCAACUCCGUCAACUCCUUCAACUCCUUCAACCACUCCUUCAACUCCGUCAGUGGCAUGAAGUUAGCCGUCGAUGUCAAAGAUAGUUCCUCCACUCCGUCAACCACUCCUUCAACUCCUUCUGAUUCUCCCACCACACCUACACCUGAGGUUGGCAACACGCCGUCGAAGUCGACACCUGUAACACC
RNAcentral lists this long non-coding RNA (325 nucleotides) under Nicotiana benthamiana. Its description in RNAcentral is "long non-coding RNA (NBEN_LNC042061)". Lineage: Eukaryota; Viridiplantae; Streptophyta; Magnoliopsida; Solanales; Solanaceae. The record is from RNAcentral.